UACGGAGGGUGCAAGCAUUAAUCGGAUUUAUUGGGCGUAAAGGGCGCGUAGGCGGGGAUGUAAGUCAGAUGUGAAAUCCCGGGGCUCAACCCCGGAACAGCAUUUGAAACUGCAUUUCUUGAGGAUAGGAGGAGAAAACGGAAUUCCACAUGUAGCGGUGAAAUGCGUAGAUAUGUGGAAGAACACCUGUGGCGAAGGCGGUUUUCUAUCUUAUACCUGACGCUAAAGCGCGAAAGCAAGGGGAUCAAACAG
This 252-nucleotide ribosomal RNA is filed under the name uncultured bacterium. Its description in RNAcentral is "partial 16S ribosomal RNA". It matches the Rfam family "Bacterial small subunit ribosomal RNA", at positions 524 to 775 of the family's 1533-position model. The record is from RNAcentral.